CGGAAUCUAAAACAGAGAGAAGAAUGCACUCUACUCAACUGGAGCGAAGUUUUAAUUUGAGGAUUUUCUUUCAGCUCGUCAAUUUCUAGUUGAGCCUUUUCAAGUGCAGAAUCUAAAAGAGAAAAAAACAAAAUACAGGUUGGGGCAAAAUUCAUCAGUGAGCCUUCGGAUCUCUUCAUGGACCAUCCUUAACCUCUUUGCUAUUUGUUCCACAUUUCUCUCUAUGCAGUUUUGUGAUGUUUUAUCUUUUUCUAUGUCUUCA
Long non-coding RNA from Eptesicus fuscus (big brown bat), 262 nucleotides. RefSeq lists it as uncharacterized. The record is from RefSeq and is a predicted model, not a curated record. NCBI's taxonomy places the organism in Eukaryota, Metazoa, Chordata, Mammalia, Chiroptera, Vespertilionidae. The transcript is spliced from 3 exons.